This 1010-nucleotide ribosomal RNA is filed under the name Limosilactobacillus fermentum. RNAcentral's name for it is "bacterial SSU rRNA". It matches the Rfam family "Bacterial small subunit ribosomal RNA", at positions 65 to 1062 of the family's 1533-position model. The record is from RNAcentral. Lineage: Bacteria; Bacillati; Bacillota; Bacilli; Lactobacillales; Lactobacillaceae.
CACCUGAUUGAUUUUGGUCGCCAACGAGUGGCGGACGGGUGAGUAACACGUAGGUAACCUGCCCAGAAGCGGGGGACAACAUUUGGAAACAGAUGCUAAUACCGCAUAACAACGUUGUUCGCAUGAACAACGCUUAAAAGAUGGCUUCUCGCUAUCACUUCUGGAUGGACUGCGGUGCAUUAGCUUGUUGGUGGGGUAAUGGCCUACCAAGGGCGAUGAUGCAUAGCCGAGUUGAGAGACUGAUCGGCCACAAUGGGACUGAGACACGGCCCAUACUCCUACGGGAGGCAGCAGUAGGGAAUCUUCCACAAUGGGCGCAAGCCUGAUGGAGCAACACCGCGUGAGUGAAGAAGGGUUUCGGCUCGUAAAGCUCUGUUGUUAAAGAAGAACACGUAUGAGAGUAACUGUUCAUACGUUGACGGUAUUUAACCAGAAAGUCACGGCUAACUACGUGCCAGCAGCCGCGGUAAUACGUAGGUGGCAAGCGUUAUCCGGAUUUAUUGGGCGUAAAGAGAGUGCAGGCGGUUUUCUAAGUCUGAUGUGAAAGCCUUCGGCUUAACCGGAGAAGUGCAUCGGAAACUGGAUAACUUGAGUGCAGAAGAGGGUAGUGGAACUCCAUGUGUAGCGGUGGAAUGCGUAGAUAUAUGGAAGAACACCAGUGGCGAAGGCGGCUACCUGGUCUGCAACUGACGCUGAGACUCGAAAGCAUGGGUAGCGAACAGGAUUAGAUACCCUGGUAGUCCAUGCCGUAAACGAUGAGUGCUAGGUGUUGGAGGGUUUCCGCCCUUCAGUGCCGGAGCUAACGCAUUAAGCACUCCGCCUGGGGAGUACGACCGCAAGGUUGAAACUCAAAGGAAUUGACGGGGGCCCGCACAAGCGGUGGAGCAUGUGGUUUAAUUCGAAGCUACGCGAAGAACCUUACCAGGUCUUGACAUCUUGCGCCAACCCUAGAGAUAGGGCGUUUCCUUCGGGAACGCAAUGACAGGUGGUGCAUGGUCGUCGUCAGCUCG